AAGUCGUAACAAGGUCAACUCUUUGAGAGUGUGCUUAAGAAAUCCUUCUUUUCACUAUUCGAAGGCCUUUGCCGCCCGUCAAGGGUAGAACUCGCGACUACAAAAUAAUGAGAAGAAACUAAAGUCCUCUGGAAACAUGACUUUUGGGGCAAGCUAAAUUGUUCAGUUUAGCGAUCCGAUCAAAUUUUCGGGAAGACCUGAGCCAAGCAUAAUGAAGCUCUUUUGGAGCUACCGUGAACAGGUAAUUCUGCACGGUUAUCAGUUUGUGAUGGAUAAGACAAUGUCUGAACACUCUUAGUCAAACGACUUCGAGUUGAGGCAGUCUGUACAAUGGGUUGAUCCGAAGCCAAGUCUACUUAUAACGCAACCUUGAUGCCAACCUUGGUCGACGAUUCGUAGAAAGGUUAAACGACUGCACGGUCGGGGUCUGAACUUGACAAAGUCAUUUUCAGGUGAAGGUACAGUCUGAUCCCACGGGUAACUGUGGUCAUACGAUGAAGUCAUCCUGACUAUCGUACGAAAGAAAGUUUCGUAGGUGAACCUGCGGAAGGAUCAUUAGUGAUAUAUUGGAUUCCUCUGAAAAAGAGAAGGUCCAUUUCCACUUCAAACACUGUGCACUUGUCUUUACAAUUUUGUAAAACACACUGCCAAAAUUAUUAAAGUCCUGAUGUAUCUUUUGAUAAUGAAAUUAAAA
Molecule: unclassified non-coding RNA, 694 nt
Filed under: plant metagenome
Description: partial contains small subunit ribosomal RNA and internal transcribed spacer 1
Rfam family: Group I catalytic intron (bases 119-488)
About the family: Group I catalytic introns are large self-splicing ribozymes. They catalyse their own excision from mRNA, tRNA and rRNA precursors in a wide range of organisms.
Source: RNAcentral